This 372-nucleotide ribosomal RNA is filed under the name uncultured organism. RNAcentral describes it as "partial 16S ribosomal RNA". It matches the Rfam family "Bacterial small subunit ribosomal RNA", at positions 527 to 896 of the family's 1533-position model. The record is from RNAcentral.
GUAGGUGGCAAGCGUUGUCCGGAAUUAUUGGGCGUAAAGCGCGCGCAGGCGGUCCUUUAAGUCUGAUGUGAAAGCCCACGGGCUCAACCGUGGAGGGUCAUUGGAAACUGGGGGACUUGAGUACAGAAGAGGAAAGCGGAAUUCCACGUGUAGCGGUGAAAUGCGUAGAGAUGUGGAGGAACACCAGUGGCGAAGGCGGCUUUCUGGUCUGUAACUGACGCUGAGGCGCGAAAGCGUGGGGAGCAAACAGGAUUAGAUACCCUGGUAGUCCACGCCGUAAACGAUGAGUGCUAAGUGUUAGUGGGUUUCCGCCCCUUAGUGCUGCAGCUAACGCAUUAAGCACUCCGCCUGGGGAGUACGGCCGCAAGGCUG